AUUGAACGCUGGCGGCAUGCCUUACACAUGCAAGUCGAACGGCAGCACGGGUGCUUGCACCUGGUGGCGAGUGGCGAACGGGUGAGUAAUACAUCGGAACAUGUCCUGUAGUGGGGGAUAGCCCGGCGAAAGCCGGAUUAAUACCGCAUACGAUCUACGGAUGAAAGCGGGGGCCCUUCGGGCCUCGCGCUAUAGGGUUGGCCGAUGGCUGAUUAGCUAGUUGGUGGGGUAAAGGCCUACCACGGCGACGAUCAGUAGCUGGUCUGAGAGGACGACCAGCCACACUGGGACUGAGACACGGCCCAGACUCCUACGGGAGGCAGCAGUGGGGAAUUUUGGACAAUGGGCGAAAGCCUGAUCCAGCAAUGCCGCGUGUGUGAAGAAGGCCUUCGGGUUGUAAAGCACUUUUGUCCGGAAAGAAAUCCUUGGCCCUAAUACGGUCGGGGGAUGACGGUACCGGAAGAAUAAGCACCGGCUAACUACGUG
This 486-nucleotide ribosomal RNA is filed under the name uncultured bacterium. RNAcentral describes it as "partial 16S ribosomal RNA". It matches the Rfam family "Bacterial small subunit ribosomal RNA", at positions 30 to 507 of the family's 1533-position model. The record is from RNAcentral.